CGUGACGAAUCAGCGGUACUAACCACCCAAAACCGGAUCGAUCACUCCCCUUCGGGGGUGUGGAGUUCUGGGGCUGCGUGGGAACUUCGCUGGUAGUAGUCAAGCGAAGGGGUGACGCAGGAAGGUAGCCGUACCAGUCAGUGGUAACACUGGGGCAAGCCGGUAGGGAGAGCGAUAGGCAAAUCCGUCGCUCACUAAUCCUGAGAGGUGACGCAUAGCCGGUUGAGGCGAAUUCGGUGAUCCUCUGCUGCCAAGAAAAGCCUCUAGCGAGCACACACACGGCCCGUACCCCAAACCGACACAGGUGGUCAGGUAGAGCAUACCAAGGCGUACGAGAUAACUAUGGUUAAGGAACUCGGCAAAAUGCCCCCGUAACUUCGGGAGAAGGGGGACCGGAAUAUCGUGAACACCCUUGCGGUGGGAGCGGGAUCCGGUCGCAGAAACCAGUGAGGAGCGACUGUUUACUAAAAACACAGGUCCGUGCGAAGUCGCAAGACGAUGUAUACGGACUGACGCCUGCCCGGUGCUGGAAGGUUAAGAGGACCCGUUAACCCGCAAGGGUGAAGCGGAGAAUUUAAGCCCCAGUAAACGGCGGUGGUAACUAUAACCAUCCUAAGGUAGCGAAAUUCCUUGUCGGGUAAGUUCCGACCUGCACGAAUGGCGUAACGACUUCUCAACUGUCUCAACCAUAGACUCGGCGAAAUUGCACUACGAGUAAAGAUGCUCGUUACGCGCGGCAGGACGAAAAGACCCCGGGACCUUCACUACAACUUGGUAUUGAUGUUCGGUACGGUUUGUGUAGGAUAGGUGGGAGACUGUGAAACCUCGACGCCAGUUGGGGCGGAGUCGUUGUUGAAAUACCACUCUGAUCGUAUUGGGCAUCUAACCUCGAACCCUGAAUCGGGUUUAGGGACAGUGCCUGGCGGGUAGUUUAACUGGGGCGGUUGCCUCCUAAAAUGUAACGGAGGCGCCCAAAGGUUCCCUCAACCUGGACGGCAAUCAGGUGGCGAGUGUAAAUGCACAAGGGAGCUUGACUGCGAGACUUACAAGUCAAGCAGGGACGAAAGUCGGGAUUAGUGAUCCGGCACCCCCGAGUGGAAGGGGUGUCGCUCAACGGAUAAAAGGUACCCCGGGGAUAACAGGCUGAUCUUCCCCAAGAGUCCAUAUCGACGGGAUGGUUUGGCACCUCGAUGUCGGCUCGUCGCAUCCUGGGGCUGGAGCAGGUCCCAAGGGUUGGGCUGUUCGCCCAUUAAAGCGGCACGCGAGCUGGGUUUAGAACGUCGUGAGACAGUUCGGUCUCUAUCCGCCGCGCGCGUCAGAAACUUGAGGAAACCUGUCCCUAGUACGAGAGGACCGGGACGGACGAACCUCUGGUGCACCAGUUGUCCCGCCAGGGGCACCGCUGGAUAGCCACGUUCGGUCAGGAUAACCGCUGAAAGCAUCUAAGCGGGAAACCUUCUCCAAGAUCAGGUUUCUCACCCACUUGGUGGGAUAAGGCCCCCCGCAGAACACGGGUUCAAUAGGUCAGACCUGGAAGCUCAGUAAUGGGUGUAGGGAACUGGUGCUAACCGGCCGAAAACUUACAACA
This 1588-nucleotide ribosomal RNA is filed under the name Mycobacterium tuberculosis. RNAcentral describes it as "bacterial LSU rRNA". It matches the Rfam family "Bacterial large subunit ribosomal RNA", at positions 1414 to 2925 of the family's 2925-position model. Lineage: Bacteria; Bacillati; Actinomycetota; Actinomycetes; Mycobacteriales; Mycobacteriaceae. The record is from RNAcentral.